This is a non-coding RNA of Labrus bergylta (ballan wrasse), 816 nucleotides long. The record is from RefSeq and is a predicted model, not a curated record. NCBI's taxonomy places the organism in Eukaryota, Metazoa, Chordata, Actinopteri, Labriformes, Labridae.
UUUUCAGAUGAUUACCAAAGCAAUUCCCAUGCACCAGCUGCAAGACCCUCAGCCGGAGCAACUGGUGUAGAUACCACAUCAGAUGACCAACACUUUGUGGAUAAAUAUCAACUCCAGCUCACUGAAAGAGUGAGCCACAUGGAUCCCAUUCUGGAUCGGCUCCUCGAUAGAGGUGUCCUCCAGCGUGAGGCUUACAUUACAAUCAGAGCUCUGCCGACCUCUCGGAAGAAGAUGAGAGAGCUCUACUGCGGUUGCCUGCAAGCUGGUGCUGCUAGCAAAGAUAUCUUCUACCAAAUCCUUCUGGAAAAUGAGAAAUUUCUCAUUGAAGACCUCAAUACAAAGCACUAAAUGUUGGGGUGAAAUCUUUUUUAGACCAAAACCAGUUUUUAAUACAUGAAUAAUUGGGAAAUAUUCAUUGCAAUGUUAUGUCUCUAUGUGGGUUUCCUAUUUGACUUUUGACCAGAUUCAGCAAAUAUGAUGAUCAUGCAAAAAUAAUGAACACAGUUUAUAAUUGAAGAGCUCUCCUUUUUUAACCUCAUUAAUUGAUGUGAAUUAAAACCAAAUUAUGUGAAUUCUGCCAAAUGCUAAAAGAUUGUUUUUCCAAGUCUUUUUUUAAAUACAUUUUCAUAAACACCAUAAUAUCAUAACACAAUCGGGGAAUAGAGUACAGAGCUGAAAUUUACGUCAUGAUAUUAAUUAUAACUUUUUUACCCUACAAGGAUACUGUUACAUUUGGAUGGUGUUUAAAAAUGUCUGCAUCAUUGAAACGUUUUCUAAUCUUUAAUAAAACAUUCAAAUUUGUAUGUGUGGUUUUAA